Chiloscyllium plagiosum (whitespotted bambooshark) is the source of this 1202-nucleotide long non-coding RNA. RefSeq lists it as uncharacterized. Lineage: Eukaryota; Metazoa; Chordata; Chondrichthyes; Orectolobiformes; Hemiscylliidae. The record is from RefSeq and is a predicted model, not a curated record.
AAUAAAAAAGUGGGUGUUAAGUAAUGGUCUUAAAGGGGGAAAAGGAAAUAGAAAGAUAGAGAGGUCUAGGGAGGGAAUUCCAUAGCUUGGGGCCCAUUGGCAGCUGAAGGCUUGGUUGCUAUAGCUGCAGGAAAGGGAAAUCAGAGGUUACAAGAGAUCAGAAUUGGAGGACUGCAGAGGUCACUUUUUACUUCAGUAGUUCUUAAAAGCCAGGGAAUCUCAAGGAAACAGAUCUUUGAUUUUUUUUCUCAAUUUAUUUUAGAGUUAAAUCAAUAAAGGUACUUAUCAAAAUAAUCAAAUGCGUUAUGAAGGUGGCCAAUCUAUAAUCAGCUCACAACUAAAAUUUCUGACUCAGAAAAAGGAUUAAUGGCCUUUCCAGUCCAUUCAGGAGCUGCACUAGGACCGCUCGGGGGCGCGGGUCCGACCUGGACCUGCACAUUGCGAUCCGGUGGGCCUGCUCCACGCUCACCAGGUCCAACUCCAACUCUAGCCCCUCCAGGAUGUCGAUAAGGUCCUCACCUUCUUCACUUUCCGGAAUAUCCAUGAGUCGUAGCCUCAUUCUGUGGACCUCUUGAACUCUAUGCUUAGGCCCUCUUGAACUCUAUGCAUUUCAGAAGGAUGGGAAGACUGCCGAAAACUGCUGAAAGGAACUACGGAAAUGGUCCUGCAUUGGUAAGAGAUGUGGUUGAUGCGAGGUCAGGACCAGUGAUGAAUUAAGUUCAGGUUGGUGCAAGGGUCCUGAACAAGCAUAUGGACCGUAUGAAAGCUGUGAAAUCACAAAUGAUGAGCGAGCAAAAUGUACCCCGCACCUCAACAGUAAGAAAGAGUGCCGGAACCCGUAGGUUCAUUCUCUCUGUCAAGGGUUGAUGAGACUUCUGAAUCCGAGAUGGACAUGACAGAUGUAGCCACAUCAAUGUCUCUGCCGGUGGAAGAGAGUGAAUUUCUACCGAGGUAUUCUUGACUCAAGAGGCAAGCUGCCAUUUGUUAUGUGCUGCCCGUAUUGGAAGCAAAGUCCAAGGUACCUGAUCCAGUGCUAAAAUGCCCCAGGAGGCUUUUCAAGAAAAAGGACCAACUCACGUCCUCAGUUUUACAGGGUGAGAGAUGUAAUGAGGUUAGCCAGCUGGACCUCACAGAAUAAGAGUUCCCUGAUUGAGGUUGCUAAUCUGUUCCAAUCAGGAAGCCCUAGCUGACAGAUAUAAACA